RNAcentral lists this ribosomal RNA (206 nucleotides) under Citrobacter sp. wls706. Its description in RNAcentral is "partial 23S ribosomal RNA". It matches the Rfam family "Bacterial large subunit ribosomal RNA", at positions 1563 to 1767 of the family's 2925-position model. The record is from RNAcentral. Lineage: Bacteria; Pseudomonadati; Pseudomonadota; Gammaproteobacteria; Enterobacterales; Enterobacteriaceae.
GUGAUGACGAGGCACUACGGUGCUGAAGUAACAAAUGCCCUGCUUCCAGGAAAAGCCUCUAAGCAUCAGGUAACACGAAAUCGUACCCCAAACCGACACAGGUGGUCAGGUAGAGAAUACCAAGGCGCUUGAGAGAACUCGGGUGAAGGAACUAGGCAAAAUGGUGCCGUAACUUCGGGAGAAGGCACGCUGAUAUGUAGGUGAAG